RNAcentral lists this ribosomal RNA (1520 nucleotides) under Lacticaseibacillus zeae. RNAcentral describes it as "bacterial SSU rRNA". It matches the Rfam family "Bacterial small subunit ribosomal RNA". The record is from RNAcentral. Lineage: Bacteria; Bacillati; Bacillota; Bacilli; Lactobacillales; Lactobacillaceae.
AACGCUGGCGGCGUGCCUAAUACAUGCAAGUCGAACGAGUUUUGGUCGAUGAACGGUGCUUGCAUCGUGAUUCAACUUAAAACGAGUGGCGGACGGGUGAGUAACACGUGGGUAACCUGCCCUUAAGUGGGGGAUAACAUUUGGAAACAGAUGCUAAUACCGCAUAAAUCCAAGAACCGCAUGGUUCUUGGCUGAAAGAUGGCGUAAGCUAUCGCUUUUGGAUGGACCCGCGGCGUAUUAGCUAGUUGGUGAGGUAACGGCUCACCAAGGCGAUGAUACGUAGCCGAACUGAGAGGUUGAUCGGCCACAUUGGGACUGAGACACGGCCCAAACUCCUACGGGAGGCAGCAGUAGGGAAUCUUCCACAAUGGACGCAAGUCUGAUGGAGCAACGCCGCGUGAGUGAAGAAGGCUUUCGGGUCGUAAAACUCUGUUGUUGGAGAAGAAUGGUCGGCAGAGUAACUGUUGUCGGCGUGACGGUAUCCAACCAGAAAGCCACGGCUAACUACGUGCCAGCAGCCGCGGUAAUACGUAGGUGGCAAGCGUUAUCCGGAUUUAUUGGGCGUAAAGCGAGCGCAGGCGGUUUUUUAAGUCUGAUGUGAAAGCCCUCGGCUUAACCGAGGAAGCGCAUCGGAAACUGGGAAACUUGAGUGCAGAAGAGGACAGUGGAACUCCAUGUGUAGCGGUGAAAUGCGUAGAUAUAUGGAAGAACACCAGUGGCGAAGGCGGCUGUCUGGUCUGUAACUGACGCUGAGGCUCGAAAGCAUGGGUAGCGAACAGGAUUAGAUACCCUGGUAGUCCAUGCCGUAAACGAUGAAUGCUAGGUGUUGGAGGGUUUCCGCCCUUCAGUGCCGCAGCUAACGCAUUAAGCAUUCCGCCUGGGGAGUACGACCGCAAGGUUGAAACUCAAAGGAAUUGACGGGGGCCCGCACAAGCGGUGGAGCAUGUGGUUUAAUUCGAAGCAACGCGAAGAACCUUACCAGGUCUUGACAUCUUUUGAUCACCUGAGAGAUCAGGUUUCCCCUUCGGGGGCAAAAUGACAGGUGGUGCAUGGUUGUCGUCAGCUCGUGUCGUGAGAUGUUGGGUUAAGUCCCGCAACGAGCGCAACCCUUAUGACUAGUUGCCAGCAUUGAGUUGGGCACUCUAGUAAGACUGCCGGUGACAAACCGGAGGAAGGUGGGGAUGACGUCAAAUCAUCAUGCCCCUUAUGACCUGGGCUACACACGUGCUACAAUGGAUGGUACAACGAGUUGCGAGACCGCGAGGUCAAGCUAAUCUCUUAAAGCCAUUCUCAGUUCGGACUGUAGGCUGCAACUCGCCUACACGAAGUCGGAAUCGCUAGUAAUCGCGGAUCAGCACGCCGCGGUGAAUACGUUCCCGGGCCUUGUACACACCGCCCGUCACACCAUGAGAGUUUGUAACACCCGAAGCCGGUGGCGUAACCCUUUUAGGGAGCGAGCCGUCUAAGGUGGGACAAAUGAUUAGGGUGAAGUCGUAACAAGGUAGCCGUAGGAGAACCUG